This 282-nucleotide ribosomal RNA is filed under the name unidentified marine bacterioplankton. Its description in RNAcentral is "partial 16S ribosomal RNA". It matches the Rfam family "Bacterial small subunit ribosomal RNA", at positions 71 to 339 of the family's 1533-position model. The record is from RNAcentral. RNAcentral also lists the same sequence under 1 other name.
AAAGUGGAAGCAAUCCAUAAGUAGAGUGGCAAACGGGUGAGUAACGCGUGGGCGACCUGCCUUCGAGUGGGGGAUAACUUUUCGAAAGGAAAGCUAAUACCGCAUGACAUACCGUGUUUAGAUACAUGGAUAUCAAAGCUGGGGAUCGUAAGACCUGGCGCUUGAAGAGGGGCCCGCGUCCGAUUAGCUAGUUGGUGGGGUAAAGGCUCACCAAGGCUCCGAUCGGUAUCCGGCCUGAGAGGGCGGACGGACACACUGGAACUGAGACACGGUCCAGACUCC